UUAAGCGACUAAGCGUACACGGUGGAUGCCCUGGCAGUCAGAGGCGAUGAAGGACGUGCUAAUCUGCGAUAAGCGUCGGUGAGGUGAUAUGAACCGUUAUAACCGGCGAUUUCCGAAUGGGGAAACCCAGUGUGUUUCGACACACUAUCAUUAACUGAAUCCAUAGGUUAAUGAGGCGAACCGGGGGAACUGAAACAUCUAAGUACCCCGAGGAAAAGAAAUCAACCGAGAUUCCCCCAGUAGCGGCGAGCGAACGGGGAGGAGCCCAGAGCCUGAAUCAGUGUGUGUGUUAGUGGAAGCGUCUGGAAAGGCGCGCGAUACAGGGUGACAGCCCCGUACACAAAAAUGCACAUAUUGUGAGCUCGAUGAGUAGGGCGGGACACGUGGUAUCCUGUCUGAAUAUGGGGGGACCAUCCUCCAAGGCUAAAUACUCCUGACUGACCGAUAGUGAACCAGUACCGUGAGGGAAAGGCGAAAAGAACCCCGGCGAGGGGAGUGAAAAAGAACCUGAAACCGUGUACGUACAAGCAGUGGGAGCCUCUUAAUGGGGUGACUGCGUACCUUUUGUAUAAUGGGUCAGCGACUUAUAUUCUGUAGCAAGGUUAACCGAAUAGGGGAGCCGAAGGGAAACCGAGUCUUAACUGGGCGUUAAGUUGCAGGGUAUAGACCCGAAACCCGGUGAUCUAGCCAUGGGCAGGUUGAAGGUUGGGUAACACUAACUGGAGGACCGAACCGACUAAUGUUGAAAAAUUAGCGGAUGACUUGUGGCUGGGGGUGAAAGGCCAAUCAAACCGGGAGAUAGCUGGUUCUCCCCGAAAGCUAUUUAGGUAGCGCCUCGUGAAUUCAUCUCCGGGGGUAGAGCACUGUUUCGGCAAGGGGGUCAUCCCGACUUACCAACCCGAUGCAAACUGCGAAUACCGGAGAAUGUUAUCACGGGAGACACACGGCGGGUGCUAACGUCCGUCGUGAAGAGGGAAACAACCCAGACCGCCAGCUAAGGUCCCAAAGUCAUGGUUAAGUGGGAAACGAUGUGGGAAGGCCCAGACAGCCAGGAUGUUGGCUUAGAAGCAGCCAUCAUUUAAAGAAAGCGUAAUAGCUCACUGGUCGAGUCGGCCUGCGCGGAAGAUGUAACGGGGCUAAACCAUGCACCGAAGCUGCGGCAGCGACACUAUGUGUUGUUGGGUAGGGGAGCGUUCUGUAAGCCUGUGAAGGUGGCCUGUGAGGGUUGCUGGAGGUAUCAGAAGUGCGAAUGCUGACAUAAGUAACGAUAAAGCGGGUGAAAAGCCCGCUCGCCGGAAGACCAAGGGUUCCUGUCCAACGUUAAUCGGGGCAGGGUGAGUCGACCCCUAAGGCGAGGCCGAAAGGCGUAGUCGAUGGGAAACAGGUUAAUAUUCCUGUACUUGGUGUUACUGCGAAGGGGGGACGGAGAAGGCUAUGUUGGCCGGGCGACGGUUGUCCCGGUUUAAGCGUGUAGGCUGGUUUUCCAGGCAAAUCCGGAAAACCAAGGCUGAGGCGUGAUGACGAAGCACUACGGUGCUGAAGCGACAAAUGCCCUGCUUCCAGGAAAAGCCUCUAAGCAUCAGGUAACAUCAAAUCGUACCCCAAACCGACACAGGUGGUCAGGUAGAGAAUACCAAGGCGCUUGAGAGAACUCGGGUGAAGGAACUAGGCAAAAUGGUGCCGUAACUUCGGGAGAAGGCACGCUGAUAUGUAGGUGAAGCGACUUGCUCGUGGAGCUGAAAUCAGUCGAAGAUACCAGCUGGCUGCAACUGUUUAUUAAAAACACAGCACUGUGCAAACACGAAAGUGGACGUAUACGGUGUGACGCCUGCCCGGUGCCGGAAGGUUAAUUGAUGGGGUUAGCGGCAACGCGAAGCUCUUGAUCGAAGCCCCGGUAAACGGCGGCCGUAACUAUAACGGUCCUAAGGUAGCGAAAUUCCUUGUCGGGUAAGUUCCGACCUGCACGAAUGGCGUAAUGAUGGCCAGGCUGUCUCCACCCGAGACUCAGUGAAAUUGAACUCGCUGUGAAGAUGCAGUGUACCCGCGGCAAGACGGAAAGACCCCGUGAACCUUUACUAUAGCUUGACACUGAACAUUGAGCCUUGAUGUGUAGGAUAGGUGGGAGGCUUUGAAGUGUGGACGCCAGUCUGCAUGGAGCCGACCUUGAAAUACCACCCUUUAAUGUUUGAUGUUCUAACGUGGGCCCGUAAUCCGGGUUGCGGACAGUGUCUGGUGGGUAGUUUGACUGGGGCGGUCUCCUCCUAAAGAGUAACGGAGGAGCACGAAGGUUGGCUAAUCCUGGUCGGACAUCAGGAGGUUAGUGCAAUGGCAUAAGCCAGCUUGACUGCGAGCGUGACGGCGCGAGCAGGUGCGAAAGCAGGUCAUAGUGAUCCGGUGGUUCUGAAUGGAAGGGCCAUCGCUCAACGGAUAAAAGGUACUCCGGGGAUAACAGGCUGAUACCGCCCAAGAGUUCAUAUCGACGGCGGUGUUUGGCACCUCGAUGUCGGCUCAUCACAUCCUGGGGCUGAAGUAGGUCCCAAGGGUAUGGCUGUUCGCCAUUUAAAGUGGUACGCGAGCUGGGUUUAGAACGUCGUGAGACAGUUCGGUCCCUAUCUGCCGUGGGCGCUGGAGAACUGAGGGGGGCUGCUCCUAGUACGAGAGGACCGGAGUGGACGCAUCACUGGUGUUCGGGUUGUCAUGCCAAUGGCACUGCCCGGUAGCUAAAUGCGGAAGAGAUAAGUGCUGAAAGCAUCUAAGCACGAAACUUGCCCCGAGAUGAGUUCUCCCUGACUCCUUGAGGGUCCUGAAGGAACGUUGAAGACGACGACGUUGAUAGGCCGGGUGUGUAAGCGCAGCGAUGCGUUGAGCUAACCGGUACUAAUGAACCGUGAGGCUUAACCUU
RNAcentral lists this ribosomal RNA (2902 nucleotides) under Escherichia coli. RNAcentral's name for it is "bacterial LSU rRNA". It matches the Rfam family "Bacterial large subunit ribosomal RNA". The record is from RNAcentral. Lineage: Bacteria; Pseudomonadati; Pseudomonadota; Gammaproteobacteria; Enterobacterales; Enterobacteriaceae.